This 322-nucleotide ribosomal RNA is filed under the name uncultured eukaryote. RNAcentral describes it as "partial 18S ribosomal RNA". It matches the Rfam family "Eukaryotic small subunit ribosomal RNA", at positions 1470 to 1796 of the family's 1831-position model. The record is from RNAcentral.
CCCUUAGAUGUCCUGGGCCGCACGCGCGCUACACUGACAUGUUCAACAAGUUUCUCCUAGUUCGACAGGACUGGGAAAUCUUUGAACGCAUGUCGUGAUAGGGAUAGAUCAUUGCAAUUAUUGAUCUUGAACGAGGAAUUCCUAGUAAACGCGAGUCAUCAGCUCGCAUUGAUUACGUCCCUGCCCUUUGUACACACCGCCCGUCGCACCUGCCGAUUGAAUGUUUCGGUGAAGAUUCCGGAUAGGACUGAUUUGAUUUAUUUCAUUUCUGACCUAAAAGCUAUCUAAACCUCAACAUUUAGAGGAAGGUGAAGUCGUAACA